This 196-nucleotide ribosomal RNA is filed under the name Streptococcus equinus. Its description in RNAcentral is "partial 16S ribosomal RNA". It matches the Rfam family "Bacterial small subunit ribosomal RNA", at positions 591 to 787 of the family's 1533-position model. Lineage: Bacteria; Bacillati; Bacillota; Bacilli; Lactobacillales; Streptococcaceae. The record is from RNAcentral.
GAAGUUAAAGGCAGUGGCUUAACCAUUGUUCGCUUUGGAAACUGUUAGACUUGAGUGCAGAAGGGGAGAGUGGAAUUCCAUGUGUAGCGGUGAAAUGCGUAGAUAUAUGGAGGAACACCGGUGGCGAAAGCGGCUCUCUGGUCUGUAACUGACGCUGAGGCUCGAAAGCGUGGGGAGCAAACAGGAUUAGAUACCC